UCACUUAUUUUAUUUUAAUGUAAAAAAAUUCAAAAGCAAAAAUUCAAGUUUUAAAAAUUCAAUUAAAAUAAAUACAGGUUGCUCAAAUUCGACCAGUCAAUUUCGACUGCUAAAAUACAACGCUCAAAAUUCGCUGUCAACAUCCGGGACACACAGGAUGAGCAAUCGAUUCAGUCUUCAAUCGAGCCAACAACCAGCCAAUCACAUCACGCUCCGAAGAUCACGUGACAGGUACCGCCUCACGGCCAGCAGUAGGGCAGAGAACCGCUCAACGCGAGUCACAGCCCCCGCCGCUGCUGCUCUCGAGUAGUAAAGUGUUGUAUAACCAUAACUUCCACUAGUGGGUGAUGUUGCCUUGGUGAUAAAGCAGCUAUGCCUGAUCCAUGUCCAGGUAAGAUGUUGUUUAGUUUUUGUUCGUGCCCAAUGCAUAAAGGUGUGUAAAUACAUAUUUUAAAUUAAAAAAAAAAUCCUGUAGAUAAAAAAGAUGCUUUUAUUUUUUUGACAAAAUAAAUCAGCUAUUGCAGGCUAUUAUUGUAGCCUAAUUUCCAUAUACAUUGACACAUAGGAACAGUGUGGAAGUAAAAUAAUGCUGGUCUGCAGAAUAGGUGUGUGGGAUCUCCUGUACUGAUCAUUACCCCCCACUGCACUGUCCACUGUGGGUGGUAAUGUGUUUUACGAUGUAUUCCCAGUACACAUGUGAUGCUGUGGAUUGAGAAAUCCACUGAACCAUCAGGCUUCACUCAAACUUCACUCAAACUGAUAAUUUAUGUCACCUUGAGCCAGAAGUAUGUUGGCCAUUAACAACCUUAACCUCACUUACCAGAUAACACCUCACAACUUAUACAGGUGUAGGUGUUUCGAAGCUGUCUCCAAAGGUAACACUUCAGGACCAAUUUAAACACUUUAGGCAAGUCAAUGUAUGAAUAGUAAGGAAUAGAGUGAACAUUAUGUGUUAUAACCUGUACAAUACUACAUCACAAUAUAUAUUUUAUUAAAAAAGCAAAAUUUUAGUUGUGCAUAAAAUUUGGUUGUAAACUAAUUACCCAAGAAACACAUGCAUAACAUAUAAAAAAACUCAGAGAAGAUAGUUAUCACUGGUUGUUUGGGGAACAAAUACAAUGUUUUAUUUUGUACAGUAGAUAAUACAAAACGUUAAAACUAUCACUCACAUCAAUUGAAAUUAAGGGAAUGGUUCAGCAGAUAAAGGUGAUUUCACUAUGGACUGAGAAUCACUAUUAAGAAUUCUGGAUCAAAACCAAGAACAACAUUUAAAGAACUGCAGGUGUCACUUGCCUCAGUUAAGGUCAGUGUUAAUGAUUCAAUAAUAAGACUGGUUAAAAAUGGUCUCCUUGGGAGAGUUCCAAGGCAAAAAACAACCCAUUAAUUUACUGGAAAUAAUCACACCUAUUUGGAAAGCUCCAAAAAAAUUUAAACUUCAAUUUUACUUUCCUCAACCAGGCCUGAUUACUACCAGAUGUGCAGAAGCAAGAAAUCAUUUAGAAUCUGUAUGUUUUGAUACAUCUGGCAUAAAAUUAUCACAUAAUUUUAGAAAAAGAACAUCAUACUAAACGUAAAACAUGGUGGUGGUAGUAUGAUGGUCUGGAGCUGCUCUGCUGCUUCAGGGCCUGGACAACUUGCCUUUAAUAGAUAGAAUCAGGAAUUCUGCUGUUUACCAGACAAUCCUGAGGGAGAAUGUCCGGCCAUCUGUUUGUGACCUCAAGCUCAGAUGUACUUGGGUUCUGCAGCAGGACAAUGAUCCAAAUCUUACAAACUAGUCCAGCUCUGAAUGGCUUAAAAAAACAAAAAACAACAGGUUUUGGAGUGAUCUAGUCGAAGUUGCUGUGAUCUUAAACAGGACAUUUCUGCCUACAAACCGUCCAAUGUGGCUCAAUUAAAACAAUUCUGUAAAGAGGAAUGGAUCAAUAUUUCUCCACAGAGAUGUGAAAGCCUCAUUGUAAGUUAUUGGUAAAGUUUAAUUACAAUUGAUGCCACCAAUGGUGGCACAACCAAGUUAUUAGGUUUAGGGGCAAACACUUUUUUUUCACAAAUAGCUAGAUUGAUUUGGAUUUUUUUCUAUAAAAAAUAAAUAAAAUUUUCAUUUAAAAAGUGCUUUUUAUAUUUACUCAGGUUAUCUUUUUCUGAUAAUUAAGUUGGUUUGAUAAUCAGAAAAAUAUUAGUAUGACAACAAAGCAAAAACAAAAUAAAUCUAUAGUGGGGGAAUUAUUUUUCACGCCACUGUAUAUUCCGGCAAGCUACAACAACUGCUGACGCCCCACCCUGCUAGUUAUACAAGAUAACAGAUCCGUGUUAAAGUGUUUGCAUCCUGACAGGAGCGGGCAUGUUCAGGAUCACAAUGCCCUCAAGCACAGGCCAUGAGUAAGCACAUAAUGGUUUCCUGAAAACACCUGAGUACACCUGCUCAAAACCAGCUUAAGCUAGUUACAACAACAUAGUUAAAACUACUUAAACUAUAAUGAAUUAGGCUUAUGAGUUUUAUUAUUUUAUUUGUUAAAGAAAGUAGACAUAGGUAAACAUUGAUUCUUUAAAAAAAAUAUAUGCCUAUAAGAGAUUCUCUUGUUAAACAGCUGUUAAAAGCUGUAAAAGGUAAUUAUAAGUAGCCUAUACGUAACACACAACUUUGCCUUGGUUAAAAGGCCCAUAUUCCACAUUUAACUUGAAUGUGAUAUGUUCAGGUUCAUGUAUGAGGCUAAUAUAUGUUUAUGCAUCAAAUCAUUUUUACAUUACCAUUUCUAACCUCACUGUUAGACUUAAAUAAUUAUUAAAAAAUAGAAUGAAUAAAUAUAAGCAGUUUUUAAAUGAUAAUUUUAUUUAUUAAAUGAAAACUGUGUGUGAAAAAGUGUUUGCCCUUAAACCCAAUGACUUGGUUGUGCCACCCUUGGCAGCAACAACUCCAUCAAGCUUUACCGGUGACUGGCAAAGAGUCUUUAUAUCUCUGGCGAGGAAUUAUGGGCCACUUUUCAUUGCAGGGCAAGUUGUCCAGGCCCUGAAGCAUCAAAGCAGCCCCAGACCAUCACACUACCACCACCAUGUUUUACAUUCGGUAUGAUGUUCUUUUUCUGAAAUUAUGAUAGUUUUAUGCCAGAUGUAACGAAACAUACAGGUUCUAAGUGAUUUCUUGAUUCCGAAGGUCUGGCAGUAAUCAGGCCUGGUUGAGGACAGUAAAAUUGAACUUGUGAAAAAACUGUGAUUAAUCAGAGUUACAUCUUGGGGGGCAAACACUAUUUCACUUUUUUUUCAAGGCUACAUUGGUUUGGAUAGUUUUUCCCCUUAAUAAAUUAAAUAAUUGUUUAAAAAGUUAAUUUGAUAAUCUGAAAAAUGCAAGUAUGACAAACAUGCAAAAACAAAAGAAAUCUGUAAGAGGGCUUUUUACUUUUUCAUGCUACUGUUACACCUUAGCUGGUGUCUGCCUUGUGUUUUUUUCUGUUUUUGGUCCCAUGUGCUCCUGUCCAAUGUUCUCCUGUCUUGUGUCCCUGUUUUGUUAUUGUCCUGUCUCCUCUCUAGCACCACCGGUCUUGCUUGUAACCCUGGUCCCUUGUUACCGGUCCCAGAUGUUUCUCAUCCUCAUCAUGUUUCGGUGUUCCUUGUUAAGUAUUGUGUUUGCCUUGUACGCUCCAUGUCUGGUUUGUGUAUUUCCUUGUAUUUGUAGAUUUUGUGUCUUGUAUCUUUUUCAUUCUUUGUAUGCUUUGUGAUCUCCUGGUCUGGUUUGUUUGUUUAUGUGCUCAAAGUCUUAGUUCAUCUUUAUCUUGUUUGCUUAGUUUUUCAAUCUAUCUGGUUUCAUCUAGAUCUAUCUUUAGUCUUGUCCUAUGUCUUACCUAUGUUUGCUUUCUGUUUAGUUUAUGUUUAUUUCAAUUAAAUUAUUGUAUGCAUUUAUGUUCGUAUCAUUCCUUGUUUGUGAAAGCCACUGUAUGUGUAUGCAUAUACACUGGUAUGAAAAAGUUUGAGCACCCCUGAUAAUUUUCUUGUUUUGGACCCAUGCAACCCUCAACUUGAUGAACCACCACCAAAUUUUACUGUGGGUAGUAAGUGUUUGUCUUGGAAUGCUGAGUUAUUUUUCCUCUAUACAUACCGCUCUCCAAAUAACUCCAAAAUAAUUUUAGUUUCGCCCACCUUAUUCCAAAAUGGAGCUGGCUUGUCCAAAUGCAAUUUAGCAUACCUCAAGCGACUCUUUUUGUGGAGUGUGCUCAGAAAAGGCUUCUUCUGCAUUUCUCUCCCAUACAGCCUCUCCUUCUGCAAGGUGUGCUGGGUAGCUGAACGAUUGUAGGUGUUUGAAGCUGGUCUAUGGGGUUGACUAUGACUGUUCUGACCAUCCUUUUCCUCUGCUUAUCUGAUAUUUUUCUUUACCUGCCACUCCAGGCCUUAACUAGAACUGUAUCUGUGGUCUUCAAUUUCCUCUCUAUGUUCCUCAGAGUGGAAACUGACAGCAGAAAUCUCAGAGCUUUUUUUUAGCUUUUUAUAUCCUUUCCCUAAACCAUGAUGUUGAACACUUUUUUUUUAGGUCAUUUGAUAGUAGUUUUGAGGCUCUCAUGUUGUCACUCAUCAGAAAAAACUUGCAAUUGGCCACCUUAACCUUUUCUCAUAAUUUGACUCACCUGUGUAUGUAGAUCAAGGGUUAAUUAGGUUACCAAACAAAUUUUGUUUUACAAUAAUUAGUGCUAAAGGUAUUUAUAUCAAUAAAAUGGCAAAGGUGCCCAAAUUUAUGCGCCUGCCUAAUUUUGUUUAAGUAAUUACUGCACAUUUUCACAUUGUUAAUCCUAUAAACUUAAUUUCAGUUCUAAAAUUUUACUGUGCUCAUCUGCUAUAUGAUACAUUUAACUGAAAUUGCUGAUCCAAAUAACCAGUGAUUUAUAAAGAAAACAUCCUGAAAAUUAUCAUGGGUGCCCAAACUUUUUCAUACCACUGUAUAUGCAGCUAAAACAGGUGUCCUAGUGCUUUCCAAAAUGUUCUUAUCUUGCUUUUGUCUUAUCUAUACUUCUACCUUCUGAUGAAUGUAAAUACUUUUCACACCUUUGCAUGUAACCCUUUACAUAUCUGUCUGAUAUGUAUCCUCAUUGUGAGUUUUGCUGCAAUCUGUGGUGUGUUAUUUUUGUUGUCCAUGGAAAAAUGGGCUGUAUAAACUUACACCAAUGCCUAUA
Molecule: long non-coding RNA, 5153 nt
Organism: Astyanax mexicanus (Mexican tetra)
Lineage: Eukaryota; Metazoa; Chordata; Actinopteri; Characiformes; Acestrorhamphidae
Exons: 2
Source: RefSeq, a predicted model, not a curated record